AGAGUUUGAUCCUGGCUCAGAACGAACGCUGGCGGCGUGGAUAAGACAUGCAAGUCGAGCGCUGAUUACGGGGUAGCAAUAUUCCGUGGUCGGAGCGGCGCAAGGGUGCGUAACACGUGGGUAAUCUGCCAUAAAGUUCGGGAUAACUUGCUGAAAGGCGAGCUAAUACCGGAUGUGACACUCGGGAGACAUCUCCUGAUUGUUAAAGCUGGGGAUCGUAAGACCUGGCGCUUUUUGAUGAACCCGCGGCCUAUCAGCUAGUUGGUGAGGUAACGGCCCACCAAGGCUAAGACGGGUAGCUGGUCUGAGAGGACGACCAGCCACACUGGAACUGAGACACGGUCCAGACACCUACGGGUGGCAGCAGUCGAGAAUUUUUCACAAUGGGCGCAAGCCUGAUGGAGCGACGCCGCGUGGGGGAUGAAUGGCUUCGGCCCGUAAACCCCUGUCAUUUGCGAUCAAACCUUAUUAUUUAAAAGAUGAUGAGCUGAUAGUAGCGAAAGAGGAAGGGACGGCUAACUCUGUGCCAGCAGCCGCGGUAAUACAGAGGUCCCGAGCGUUGUUCGGAUUCACUGGGCGUAAAGGGUGCGUAGGUGGUGAGGUAAGUCGGAUGUGAAAUCUCGGAGCUCAACUCCGAAACUGCAUUGGAAACUACCUCGCUCGAGGGUUGGAGGGGGGACUGGAAUACUUGGUGUAGCAGUGAAAUGCGUAGAUAUCAAGUGGAACACCAGUGGCGAAGGCGAGUCCCUGGACAACUCCUGACACUGAGGCACGAAAGCUAGGGGAGCAAACAGGAUUAGAUACCCUAGUAGUCC
Molecule: ribosomal RNA, 815 nt
Filed under: uncultured bacterium
Lineage: Bacteria
Description: bacterial SSU rRNA
Rfam family: Bacterial small subunit ribosomal RNA
Source: RNAcentral